RNAcentral lists this ribosomal RNA (497 nucleotides) under uncultured bacterium. RNAcentral's name for it is "partial 16S ribosomal RNA". It matches the Rfam family "Bacterial small subunit ribosomal RNA", at positions 28 to 507 of the family's 1533-position model. The record is from RNAcentral.
GACGAACGCUGGCGGCGUGCCUAAUACAUGCAAGUUGAGCGCUGAAGGUUGGUACUUGUACCAACUGGAUGAGCAGCGAACGGGUGAGUAACGCGUGGGGAAUCUGCCUUUGAGCGGGGGACAACAUUUGGAAACGAAUGCUAAUACCGCAUAAAAACUUUAAACACAAGUUUUAAGUUUGAAAGAUGCAAUUGCAUCACUCAAAGAUGAUCCCGCGUUGUAUUAGCUAGUUGGUGAGGUAAAGGCUCACCAAGGCGAUGAUACAUAGCCGACCUGAGAGGGUGAUCGGCCACAUUGGGACUGGGACACGGCCCAAACUCCUACGGGAGGCAGCAGUAGGGAAUCUUCGGCAAUGGACGAAAGUCUUACCGAGCAACGCCGCGUGAGUGAAGAAGGUUUUCGGAUCGUAAAACUCUGUUGGUAGAGAAGAACGUUGGUGAGAGUGGAAAGCUCAUCAAGUGACGGUAACUACCCAGAAAGGGACGGCUAACUACGUG